Molecule: transfer RNA, 72 nt
Filed under: Thermopolyspora flexuosa
Lineage: Bacteria; Bacillati; Actinomycetota; Actinomycetes; Streptosporangiales; Streptosporangiaceae
Rfam family: tRNA
About the family: Transfer RNA (tRNA) molecules are approximately 80 nucleotides in length. Their secondary structure includes four short double-helical elements and three loops (D, anti-codon, and T loops).
Source: Rfam by way of RNAcentral
GGGCGGUUAGCUCAGCGGUAGAGCACUCGCCUUACAAGCGAGGGGUCACUGGUUCGAACCCGGUACCGCCCA